This 24-nucleotide non-coding RNA is filed under the name Arabidopsis thaliana (thale cress). The record is from RNAcentral. Lineage: Eukaryota; Viridiplantae; Streptophyta; Magnoliopsida; Brassicales; Brassicaceae.
CACAAGCGCAAUUGCAAAAGCUGC